CGGACGGGUGAGUAACGCGUGGGUAACUUGCCUCAUACAGGGGGAUAACAGUUAGAAAUGGCUGCUAAUACCGCAUAAGACCACAGCACCGCAUGGUGCAGGGGUAAAAACUCCGGUGGUAUGAGAUGGACCCGCGUCUGAUUAGCUGGUUGGUGGGGUAACGGCCUACCAAGGCGACGAUCAGUAGCCGACCUGAGAGGGUGACCGGCCACAUUGGGACUGAGACACGGCCCAA
RNAcentral lists this ribosomal RNA (235 nucleotides) under uncultured bacterium. RNAcentral's name for it is "partial 16S ribosomal RNA". It matches the Rfam family "Bacterial small subunit ribosomal RNA", at positions 99 to 334 of the family's 1533-position model. The record is from RNAcentral.